This 465-nucleotide ribosomal RNA is filed under the name uncultured bacterium. Its description in RNAcentral is "partial 16S ribosomal RNA". It matches the Rfam family "Bacterial small subunit ribosomal RNA", at positions 28 to 507 of the family's 1533-position model. The record is from RNAcentral.
GACGAACGCUGGCGGCGUGCUUAACACAUGCAAGUCGAACGGAAAGGCCCCUUUGGGGGUACUCGAGUGGCGAACGGGUGAGUAACACGUGAGUAACCUGCCCUUGACUUCGGGAUAACUUCAGGAAACUGGGGCUAAUACCGGAUAGGAAUCCUUGCUGCAUGGUGGGGGUUGGAAAGCUUCGGCGGUUUUGGAUGGACUCGCGGCUUAUCAGCUUGUUGGUGGGGUAGUGGCUUACCAAGGCUUUGACGGGUAGCCGGCCUGAGAGGGCGACCGGCCACAUUGGGACUGAGUGACGGCCCAGACUCCUACGGGAGGCAGCAGUGGGGAAUAUUGCACAAUGGGCGGAGGCCGGAUGCAGCAGCGCCGCGUGCGGGAUGACGGCCUUCGGGUUGUAAACCGCUUUCAGCAGGGGCGAAGCUUGUGGUGACGGUACCUGCAGAAGAAGCACCGGCUAACUACGUG